This 73-nucleotide transfer RNA is filed under the name Candidatus Woesearchaeota archaeon. Its description in RNAcentral is "tRNA-Trp". It matches the Rfam family "tRNA". From Rfam's summary of the family: Transfer RNA (tRNA) molecules are approximately 80 nucleotides in length. Their secondary structure includes four short double-helical elements and three loops (D, anti-codon, and T loops). The record is from RNAcentral. Lineage: Archaea; Nanobdellati; Candidatus Woesearchaeota.
GGGGUCAUAGUUUAACCAGGUAGAACAGUGGGCUCCAGACCCACUGAUUAGGGUUCAAAUCCCUAUGACCCCA